RNAcentral lists this ribosomal RNA (928 nucleotides) under uncultured bacterium. RNAcentral's name for it is "bacterial SSU rRNA". It matches the Rfam family "Bacterial small subunit ribosomal RNA", at positions 8 to 930 of the family's 1533-position model. The record is from RNAcentral.
AGAGUUUGAUCCUGGCUCAGAUUGAACGCUGGCGGAAUGCUUUACACAUGCAAGUCGAACGGCAGCACGGACUUCGGUCUGGUGGCGAGUGGCGAACGGGUGAGUAAUAUAUCGGAACGUAUCCAAUAAUGGGGGAUAACUAAUCGAAAGGUUGGCUAAUACCGCAUACGCCCUACGGGGGAAAGCAGGGGAUCUUCGGACCUUGCGUUAAUGGAGCGGCUGAUAUCUGAUUAGCUAGUUGGUGAGGUAAAGGCUCACCAAGGCGACGAUCAGUAGCUGGUCUGAGAGGACGACCAGCCACACUGGAACUGAGACACGGUCCAGACUCCUACGGGAGGCAGCAGUGGGGAAUUUUGGACAAUGGGCGCAAGCCUGAUCCAGCCAUUCCGCGUGAGUGAAGAAGGCCUUCGGGUUGUAAAGCUCUUUCGCAAGGGAAGAAAACUUACUUUUUAAUAAAGAGUGAGGUUGACGGUACCUUGAUAAGAAGCACCGGCUAACUACGUGCCAGCAGCCGCGGUAAUACGUAGGGUGCGAGCGUUAAUCGGAAUUACUGGGCGUAAAGCGUGCGCAGGCGGUUUUGUAAGUCAGAUGUGAAAUCCCCGAGCUCAACUUGGGAACUGCGUUUGAAACUGCAAGACUAGAAUAUGUCAGAGGGGGGUAGAAUUCCACGUGUAGCAGUGAAAUGCGUAGAGAUGUGGAGGAAUACCAAUGGCGAAGGCAGCCCCCUGGGAUAAUAUUGACGCUCAUGCACGAAAGCGUGGGGAGCAAACAGGAUUAGAUACCCUGGUAGUCCACGCCCUAAACGAUGUCUACUAGUUGUUGGUGGAGUAAAAUCCAUGAGUAACGCAGCUAACGCGUGAAGUAGACCGCCUGGGGAGUACGGUCGCAAGAUUAAAACUCAAAUGAAUUGACGGGGGCCCGCACAAGC